GACGAACGCUGGCGGCGUGCUUAACACAUGCAAGUCGAACGGAAAGGCCCCUUUGGGGGUACUCGAGUGGCGAACGGGUGAGUAACACGUGAGUAACCUGCCCUUGACUUCGGGAUAACUUCAGGAAACUGGGGCUAAUACCGGAUAGGAAUCCUUGCUGCAUGGUGGGGGUUGGAAAGCUUCGGCGGUUUUGGAUGGACUCACGGCUUAUCAGCUUGUUGGUGGGGUAGUGGCUUACCAAGGCUUUGACGGGUAGCCGGCCUGAGAGGGCGACCGGCCACAUUGGGACUGAGAUACGGCCCAGACUCCUACGGGAGGCAGCAGUGGGGAAUAUUGCACAAUGGGCGGAAGCCUGAUGCAGCAACGCCGCGGGCGGGAUGACGGCCUUCGGGUUGUAAACCGCUUUCAGCAGGGGCGAAGCUUGUGGUGACGGUACCUGCAGAAGAAGCACCGGCUAACUACGUG
This 465-nucleotide ribosomal RNA is filed under the name uncultured bacterium. RNAcentral describes it as "partial 16S ribosomal RNA". It matches the Rfam family "Bacterial small subunit ribosomal RNA", at positions 28 to 507 of the family's 1533-position model. The record is from RNAcentral.